CAGCCGCCACGGUAAUACAGAGGGUGCGAGCGUUAAUCGGAUUUACUGGGCGUAAAGCGUGCGUAGGCGGCUUUUUAAGUCGGAUGUGAAAUCCCUGAGCUUAACUUGGGAAUUGCAUUCGAUACUGGUUAGCUAGAGUGUGGGAGAGGAUGGUAGAAUUCCAGGUGUAGCGGUGAAAUGCGUAGAGAUCUGGAGGAAUACCGAUGGCGAAGGCAGCCAUCUGGCCUAACACUGACGCUGAGGUACGAAAGCAUGGGGAGCAAACAGGAUUAGAUACCCCAGUAGUCCCUGUCUCUUAUAC
This 301-nucleotide ribosomal RNA is filed under the name uncultured bacterium. RNAcentral describes it as "partial 16S ribosomal RNA". It matches the Rfam family "Bacterial small subunit ribosomal RNA", at positions 509 to 807 of the family's 1533-position model. The record is from RNAcentral.